Molecule: RNA transcript, 1007 nt
Organism: Asparagus officinalis (garden asparagus)
Lineage: Eukaryota; Viridiplantae; Streptophyta; Magnoliopsida; Asparagales; Asparagaceae
Gene name: glutamate synthase 1 [NADH], chloroplastic-like
Exons: 4
Source: RefSeq, a predicted model, not a curated record
UUUGGAUUCUGGGUGUAGAUUGAUUGUUGUUGAAGCACCACUAUUUGUGUACUAAAAAUUGUAGUCAGGUUAUUGUGUUUCUUUUCCUUUGACUAUUUGAGUAGCUGACAGAAAAUUGUUGUCAAUUUUAGUUUGUAGAUUACAUCUGUUUUAGGCAUUUCUACGACUGCAACUAAAUUUUAUAGUCAGGUUAUUCUUUGUUAUAUAUUUUAUUCUGCUGAUAUUCUAAUAUCUUGGUCAGUUGGAUUGUGCUCAGAACUCUUUUGCAGUUGAAUCACUCAUUUCCUGUGUUUGCAGGACUGUUGUUUACAAAGGACAACUGAAGCCAGUUCAGUUGAAGAAUUACUAUUAUGCUGAUCUUGGUGAUGAAAGGUUCACAAGUUAUAUGGCACUGGUAAAUACUCUUACAUUCUUCUUAAUGCACAGUCUGCAUUUAACAGCAAGCUGCUUGGAGAAGUCUCUCGUAGCAGAACAAAAAAUCCCGUUGCACUGUUCACUGUGGUCUGUACUUCAGGAAGCUUCCAAUACGGAGGUGGAAAGAGAAUAAUAUAUAGUAAGAUUAUUGAGUUGCUUUGCUCUUAUGCGGGUACACUCUAGGUUCUCAACAAAUACCUUUCCUAGCUGGGAUCGUGCUCAGCCCAUGCGCAUCUUGGGUCACAACGGAGAGAUUAACACACUUCGAGGCAAUGUUAACUGGAUGAAGGCGCGUGAGGGUCUUCUAAAGUGCAAAGAGCUGGGAUUGUCAAAGGAUGAGAUGAAGAAACUUUUACCCAUUGUUGAUGCUAGCUCUUCUGAUUCUGGUGGGUUCACUUAAAUAUUUUUGUGAAUAAAGUCCUACAGGUUACAUUUAAAUACAGGCUGUAAUCCAUAUGUUUUUUUUUUCUUUCAUGGUAUGAGAACUUGUUGUCCUUUUGUGUACAAACUACUACAUGUAAGCCACAGUAUGUGUAUCAUUAGUGUCAGCUUGCCGUUAUGCUUUUUCUUUUCUAACGGGAAAAGAGGGACAG